AUUUCGUGAUGAGGGUACUUCUGUAAUAAUUCUUUGUACCUUUCCCAUGCCUUAUACAAUGACUCAUCAUCCAUUUGUUGGAAAGCACUGAUCUCGUUCCUCGACUU
Non-coding RNA from Gossypium raimondii (Peruvian cotton), 107 nucleotides. NCBI's taxonomy places the organism in Eukaryota, Viridiplantae, Streptophyta, Magnoliopsida, Malvales, Malvaceae. The record is from Rfam.